CAAGAUUUAAUUUAAUAGAAAAUAUAGGCUUUGGAAGUUUACAAUAAGAUAUUCUUAAUCUUGA
RNAcentral lists this transfer RNA (64 nucleotides) under Cryptopygus terranovus. RNAcentral describes it as "tRNA-Pro". The record is from RNAcentral. Lineage: Eukaryota; Metazoa; Arthropoda; Collembola; Entomobryomorpha; Isotomidae.